This is a long non-coding RNA of Apus apus (common swift), 4052 nucleotides long. RefSeq lists it as uncharacterized. NCBI's taxonomy places the organism in Eukaryota, Metazoa, Chordata, Aves, Apodiformes, Apodidae. The transcript has 6 exons. The record is from RefSeq and is a predicted model, not a curated record.
UCAAUUCAGAACUGCAGAUAGUAUAGCGUGCAGAGCAGCAAUGGGAUGUCUGAGCGCAAGUGGCUGACUUCCAGGCGACUUCAGGAAGCACAUUUGUACAUUACUCCUGAAUUAAACUGGGAUUCUGCACCUUUGACAUCCUCCAACCCUCCGUGUCUCUGCAGGAGUCAGUGACCUGCACAGCACAACAAAACUACAAAUGAACCACAAAGCUGCAGACCAGCAAGUGAAGUGAACUGAGGGCAGUUUGACCAUCAUCUGUGUCGAUUCCCCAGAAGUUGAUGAAACAUGUUGUCGAGUCUCAAAGGUACAUCCCAGAGAUUAGUUGGCUGUGCCAUACAAUUAGUAAAUGCUUAAAACAAGAUGUUUGCUUUGAUUACAUUAAGAUACUUGCAGCAGUGAGCGCUAUUACCUUCUAAAGAAGAGAGUACCUUCCCAAAUAUAUUGUUCGUUAGCACUUCAAUAACAACAUGCCACCUCAGCCACAUGGUCCAGGAGCACAGUGGUCUCCAGUACAAGGAAGAGAUCAUUAUAAAACUCCACCUGGCUCAUUUGGGCAAAUCAAAUAAGCAUCCAGGUGCCAGCUGGUGUAAAUGCAGAUGCCACUGACGUCAAUGGAGCCAUAUCAGUUUACACCAUUUGACAAUCUGAUUCCAAGUGUGUCAGUGGCAUUUUUAGACACUGCCACUGGAAUUCAUUUUUACAACACAAUUAAAAUACAUCCACACGUUGCAUUUCUUCCUGUCCCUAAGUAUGGAACUGGAGGCCUGUUGACAAACCGUGGGAGAGGGCAAGCGGGAGGUGGAAGUAACCAAGAACUGUAUCCAUGAGAUAACCUUGCAAUAUGAGUAUUAACAGUAUUGUUCUGUUGUCUUCCUUUUAUACAAAAGAAUAUUGGCCUUCAAAAAGUCUUAGCUCCAACUUCCAGUAAGAAUUCAAUGCCAACAAAAAAGAUGCUGUAAACCAUGCAAAGUAUCUACCAUACAUGUUAACAUACUAUUUUAAUCAGCAUACAGUAUAUUCAGACUGUUUUAAUGCAUCAUUAGGGAAAUUAUCUAAAAUAAUAAGAAACCAACCCCCAAACUAAAGUUCUUAAGUAUUUGUUCCUGCACAAUCUAACUGCUGUACAAGCAGUAAUAGACUUAAAAGUACUAAAACAGUUGUUUGAAGUAGCCUGCCAGCCAGAGGUUUAUGACAUCUCCAUUUAUAUUUCAUCAAGCAUUUAUGUGGGGGAGGGAGAAGGAAGAAAGGAAGACAUGGGCAAAUUAGUAGGGCAGAGUAGUACUUCACAACUCCAGUCACCAUUUCUAAAUAGGGAGAGGGAGGUUUUAUUAUUAUUUUAUGUAAGGCAGCUGUAAAAUAAAUUGUACUGCGUAACAGUUGUCAGUAUUAAUAAAUACAAUGAAGCUGAAUAUUAGUCUUUUGAUUCAAGAUACCAAGGACAAAUCAAAAAGCUAAAUAAUUAGAACCUGAGAUGUAGUUCAGAUAGCACUGAAGCAAUUGUGCAGCGCAACACCCAUAUCUUCAAUUUAGGUCAUGUCAUCAAGAGGAGGAAAAGGACUGAAGACUAAAGAUGAGAUGCUCUACUUCACACAGUUGCCCUCUGGAAGGACUGGAAAAGGCAGUCACUUAGAUUAAGUACAGGUCAUUGGACAAGAUAUCUAAUCUAUUCCUAAGACAGGCAGCUCUGGCAGUCCAAAUCCCUAUGGCCUUUACAGCAACACAAUGAACUACUUCCUCAUGUACCUCUGUCAAUUCAAGUUAGGUUCCAGUUUUUUUAAAGCAAUAUUUCAUGUACACCAUCACCCUAUUGCUCAUAGCAAGGAAAGUGCUUUGGUUUAUUUAUGACCUACUAACCUUAAAUAAAAAAUACAACAAACAUAUCUAAUCUGAAUGUUCACAUAAGCCUGGAGACCUGAAAUAAAAUUUAAAAUAAAGCUGGCACUUGUAAGAACUAGCUAAGCCCGGCAAAGGAUUUUAAAAUACAUGAAAACCAGACGAGAAAAGAUGAAAGAAUUUUUACCCUGUAUAACCUGCACACAUCAGGAAUCAGGGCUGGAGCUCAAAAAUACCUUUUAUUUUUUCACUUACAGGUUUCAGCCUGUUACAACAGAGGCUAGGUAACCAAGGAAAAACUGAGAUUUUUGCAUUGGGGUGUGGGGAAGGAAUAGUAACAACCUAUGAAAAUAACUCUUUCUAAAAUGUAAUCCACCAAGCUGCAAGCUUUACACAGCUCCUCUUAUCCUACAACCUCACUGCCAGGUAACAGCCAGGUAAUACCCCAUAUUGAAAUAUGAAGUGACAGAUGAAAGCAGGGAAUAAGAGUAUGGGAGAAAGUACUGAAAUAAAUUACAUACAGAAAGAAGCUUAUAGGGGCGGAUGUGCAACCCUCAACCAUAAAGUCUAUACAUUUGGCUAAACCAAUGACAAGCAGAUGUAAAUGCACAAAAGGCAAGUGAGUUGAAGAGCCUUAUACUCUCAUCACUCAUGCUGGUGUAAGGCACUCCUUUUACAACAUACAUGGAAUUUAACUGUGGAAAAGCAGUAUAAAACAAGGGUAAAAAAAGGAAUUGACUGCCAUAUUUAAUUAAAACUCAGAAUAUUUAUAAUCACACUGGCUUUCCUAAACAAACCAAACCUAAUCUACCAUAAAGAAAAUUAGUUGCUUCUGUUCUUUUCUAGUUCUCCAACAGGCUAUAUUACUGUCCUUUACAUGUAUUUGAUAGAAAAUACAGUUAAAUUAUAUAACAAAUACCUCUACAUGCAGAGCAUUUAGUUGAAAGAAACAACUAGAAUAAAGUCCUUGUCAUGUUGUUUGUUUACAAAAUAUAGGCACUACACUCAUGACCUGCAGUCUUUUGGUGCUGGUUUCCUUUACACAAGCACAAACAAUUUUAACCAAAAAGCCCCUACAAUCAUUAGGAUUUUUUAAAUAAUCACACAUGUAUAAGAAAGAGUAUAAGAAAUCUUUUACCAAAUGACAAGGCAAAAACCUGAUAAAAGCCAAUGAACCAGUCAGAAUUUCAGUGCAACAAGCUAAGAGUGGACCCAGCAAAAAAGAACUCUGACCAGCUGAGCUGCAAGACCACCUUCUGUAGGACAACUCUGCUCACAAACACCAAUAAGAAAGAAGUUUGGAAAAGUGCCAGCUCCUUGCACAAAGACUGAAAUAAGAUGGGCAGAGAUGGGUGUUGACAUUUGAGGAUGCUGUCAAGUCAAUGGAGUUCUGUUGUAGUGGUUGCUUCAGUGAACAUUCAACGCUGUCGGCCUUAACACCGAAGAUAGCAACCUAACCACCACAUGAUGUUUCUCCCCCACUCUGCCAAGCUUCACAAAAAAAGGUCACAAUCAACAUUCAUUGCUGUCGGUGGGUUUAACUAUGUGGACAAGCUCACUGAACAAUGAAUGCAACUGUGGCCCCACAUGUUACAGUUGCCGUUGAGAUGAACAGCAGCUCUGAAAGCAGUAGUGAGAAGCAAAUACUUCCUAGAGGCAACAUUUUUCGGGUAAAAAAAAUAGUUGAGGAUAUUCACUUUUUGCUUGCUUGUUUUUAAAUGUGUUUAACUUAGCUGACUAGAAAAAAAAAAAUCCAUGCCUUCUGGAAUAUUGUCCUACCAGGGUUCAGCCACAUUGAAACCAUAAAAAGUCUUAUUUAGUAUGUGGAAAUAAAUAAUAUAGGGAACUUCAUGUAUAUCCGCUUCUAAGGACUCUGAGCAUAAGAGAAAAUAAUAUUUAAAUCUCAUUUUAAGUAGGCCUUGUGGAGCAGUUCAAGAGUUUCUUCUAUACUUGUUAUGACAAACAGAAGUGGGAGACAGAGCUCAAAGAUAAGAAUAAAAUGCUAUAUCAGACAUUAAUUCAUUUGAUGUGAAACUGAGUUUAAGCACCUAAAGAAAUACUAUUAGACAGUACAUGCUAUUACAUUGGCUUUUAAGGAUCUUACAGAUGACAGAGAAAUGUAUAUCCAGAAAAACUAACAGUAGCUAAAUGUAAAAUUACUGUAAACUUUGGAUACCUAUGUCACAAUCUCGGUAUUGCUGAUAGUAAUAAGUAAA